This 74-nucleotide transfer RNA is filed under the name Gemmatimonadaceae bacterium. RNAcentral's name for it is "tRNA-Arg". It matches the Rfam family "tRNA". Rfam says of the family: Transfer RNA (tRNA) molecules are approximately 80 nucleotides in length. Their secondary structure includes four short double-helical elements and three loops (D, anti-codon, and T loops). The record is from RNAcentral. Lineage: Bacteria; Pseudomonadati; Gemmatimonadota; Gemmatimonadia; Gemmatimonadales; Gemmatimonadaceae.
GUCCUUGUAGCUCAAUUGGAUAGAGCGUACGCCUCCUAAGCGUAAGGUUCCCGGUUCGAUUCCGGGCAGGGACA